UACGUAGGGUGCGAGCGUUAAUCGGAAUUACUGGGCGUAAAGCGUGCGCAGGCGGCUUUGCAAGACAGAUGUGAAAUCCCCGGGCUCAACCUGGGAACUGCAUUUGUGACUGCAAGGCUAGAGUACGGCAGAGGGGGAUGGAAUUCCGCGUGUAGCAGUGAAAUGCGUAGAUAUGUGGAGGAACACCAAUGGCGAAGGCAAUCCCCUGGGCCUGUACUGACGCUCAUGCACGAAAGCGUGGGGAGCAAACAGG
This 253-nucleotide ribosomal RNA is filed under the name uncultured bacterium. RNAcentral's name for it is "partial 16S ribosomal RNA". It matches the Rfam family "Bacterial small subunit ribosomal RNA", at positions 524 to 776 of the family's 1533-position model. The record is from RNAcentral.